ACAGUAUUAAUAGAGGCAUUAUGUAUUAUAUGGAGAAUGAAAAAGUUUCUUCUAGAUUUUCUUAUUUUACACUUUUGUAGUAGCAUAGUAUACACCAUAGCCAUGGAUACAUGGCAUUUUUGUACUUGUAUUUGUAUAUGUCUAUCUUUGAUGUUCUGGAACUUGACAGCACUUCAAAGUAACGACCCCUCCCCUCACAAACUAAUUGAACAGCUUUCUCAUGCAGCUCCCCUGUCCGUGCUUCACUCAACCACUAUCCUUUUUUCGACUCCAGGCUGAAAAGUAAUCCCAUUAUCUCUUAAAAGGUCAACCUAAAGAAGAUUUGAAGUCUGUCUGGAAACCUGAGGGUCCCACUUCUUUACGGAGGCAGGGAGCAUGGAAACCUGGAAAUCUGAAGAAUAAGUUGAUGCACCUGUAUGAGUGAAACCCUGUGAUACAAUGUAACAUCCCAAAUUCCAACCAAGUGAAAGCAGCAUUCAACAGUAGUGUGCAACCUUCUAUCUUCCAAGUUAAAUCAGGCCACAAUAGGACUUCCCCUUUUACAAAUGUCAGAGAAUGAAGCUCUAAAGAGUGAUUUCCAGCUUCCAUUCAAGUGAAAAGUUCAGCUCCCAACAGGACUAGGCAACAUCCACAAAGCAAACCAAGCAAGACCCACGGGACCAAGGCAUUAUCGGGCCUCUCAGGAUGCAGGACACCGCUCCUCCUUCCCUCCAAUCAGAGAAGCUUAAAAAGUGCAGGUUACUCCACAGACCACCAGAAGGUACAGGCAUGGAGAAAAGAGACGCUGCCACUUACACAGAGAAUAAGAGCUCAGCCCAUCCAAAGUGACUCUGCCUAGGCUCCUGUCCAUGCACUUGUCAAAGGCCAGCCCAGCCCAUGGAGGGGGAGAAGAAUUGGAGAGGAUCAGCUUUUUAUUUUCAUGUAAAAAGCACUUGCCCCCGGGUUAUAAAUGUUAUUGCAUUUGUGUAGCACUUUACUGCUGCCCUCAGCUUGCAAGCAUCACAGGACCCCAGUGGCAGUACUUUUAUAACCCUUGAUCAAUAGCUUAUUUCUAUCGCCUUCAGUCCCAGCUGCCAAUCCGUUCUGUAUAAUGUGGAAGGCAGACUUCGCUGCUCUCCAGCUGUACAUGUUAUGAAUGUAAACUCUAAGAGUAACAUAUGUAUGUGUGUGUGUGCAUUGAGUGGGGGACAUGGGAAUUUUGAACAGGGAAUGACAAAAAUGGGCCCCUUGUUCUUGUUCUUGGAGACUACCACAAAGCUGUCUCUUUUACUAAUGAAUCUCU
Molecule: long non-coding RNA, 1282 nt
Organism: Myotis davidii
Lineage: Eukaryota; Metazoa; Chordata; Mammalia; Chiroptera; Vespertilionidae
Exons: 3
Source: RefSeq, a predicted model, not a curated record